GACGAACGCUGGCGGCGUGCUUAACACAUGCAAGUCGGACGGAAAGGCCCUGCUUUUGUGGGGUGCUCGAGUGGCGAACGGGUGAGUAACACGUGAGUAACCUGCCCUUGACUUUGGGAUAACUUCAGGAAACUGGGGCUAAUACCGGAUAGGAGCUCCUGCUGCAUGGUGGGGGUUGGAAAGUUUCGGCGGUUGGGGAUGGACUCGCGGCUUAUCAGCUUGUUGGUGGGGUAGUGGCUUACCAAGGCUUUGACGGGUAGCCGGCCUGAGAGGGUGACCGGCCACAUUGGGACUGAGAUACGGACCAGACUCCUACGGGAGGCAGCAGUGGGGAAUAUUGCACAAUGGGCGGAAGCCUGAUGCAGCAACGCCGCGUGCGGGAUGACGGCCUUCGGGUUGUAAACCGAUUUCGCAUGUGACUAAGCGUGAGUGACGGUAAUGGGUAAAGAAGCACCGGCUAACUACGUG
This 468-nucleotide ribosomal RNA is filed under the name uncultured bacterium. Its description in RNAcentral is "partial 16S ribosomal RNA". It matches the Rfam family "Bacterial small subunit ribosomal RNA", at positions 28 to 507 of the family's 1533-position model. The record is from RNAcentral.